UUAACGGACCACAAGCUGCGG
This 21-nucleotide unclassified non-coding RNA is filed under the name Chlamydomonas reinhardtii. RNAcentral describes it as "small RNA Cre_3706". The record is from RNAcentral. Lineage: Eukaryota; Viridiplantae; Chlorophyta; Chlorophyceae; Chlamydomonadales; Chlamydomonadaceae.